This 492-nucleotide ribosomal RNA is filed under the name uncultured bacterium. Its description in RNAcentral is "partial 16S ribosomal RNA". It matches the Rfam family "Bacterial small subunit ribosomal RNA", at positions 29 to 507 of the family's 1533-position model. The record is from RNAcentral.
AGUGAACGCUGGCGGUAGGCCUAACACAUGCAAGUCGAACGGCAGCACAGUAAGAGCUUGCUCUUACGGGUGGCGAGUGGCGGACGGGUGAGGAAUACAUCGGAAUCUACUUUUUCGUGGGGGAUAACGUAGGGAAACUUACGCUAAUACCGCAUACGACCUACGGGUGAAAGCAGGGGAUCUUCGGACCUUGCGCGAUUGAAUGAGCCGAUGUCGGAUUAGCUAGUUGGCGGGGUAAAGGCCCACCAAGGCGACGAUCCGUAGCUGGUCUGAGAGGAUGGUCAGCCACACUGGAACUGAGACACGGUCCAGACUCCUACGGGAGGCAGCAGUGGGGAAUAUUGGACAAUGGGCGCAAGCCUGAUCCAGCCAUACCGCGUGGGUGAAGAAGGCCUUCGGGUUGUAAAGCCCUUUUGUUGGGAAAGAGAAGCAGCAGGUUAAUACCCCGCUGUUCUGACGGUACCCAAAGAAUAAGCACCGGCUAACUUCGUG